UACGGAGGGUGCAAGCGUUGUUCGGAAUUAUUGGGCGUAAAGGGCGUGUAGGCGGUUUGGUAAGUCAGAUGUGAAAGCCCUGGGCUUAACCCAGGAAGUGCAUUUGAAACUACCAGACUUGAGUAUGGGAGAGGAGAGUGGAAUUCCCAGUGUAGAGGUGAAAUUCGUAGAUAUCAGGAGGAACACCGGUGGCGAAGGCGACUUUCUGGCCCUAUACUGACGCUGAGGUGCGAAAGCGUGGGGAGCAAACAGG
RNAcentral lists this ribosomal RNA (253 nucleotides) under uncultured bacterium. Its description in RNAcentral is "partial 16S ribosomal RNA". It matches the Rfam family "Bacterial small subunit ribosomal RNA", at positions 524 to 776 of the family's 1533-position model. The record is from RNAcentral.